RNAcentral lists this ribosomal RNA (394 nucleotides) under uncultured bacterium. RNAcentral's name for it is "bacterial SSU rRNA". It matches the Rfam family "Bacterial small subunit ribosomal RNA", at positions 30 to 426 of the family's 1533-position model. The record is from RNAcentral.
AUUGAACGCUGGCGGCAUGCCUUACACAUGCAAGUCGAACGGCAGCGCGGGGCAACCUGGCGGCGAGUGGCGAACGGGUGAGUAAUAUAUCGGAACAUACCCUAGAGUGGGGGAUAACGUAGCGAAAGUUACGCUAAUACCGCAUACGAUCCAAGGAUGAAAGCAGGGGACCUUCGGGCCUUGUGCUCCUGGAGCGGCCGAUAUCUGAUUAGCUAGUUGGUGGGGUAAAAGCCUACCAAGGCGACGAUCAGUAGCUGGUCUGAGAGGACGACCAGCCACACUGGAACUGAGACACGGUCCAGACUCCUACGGGAGGCAGCAGUGGGGGAAUUUUGGACAAUGGGGGGCAACCCUGAUCCAGCAAUGCCGCGUGAGUGAAGAAGGCCUCGGUUGU